RNAcentral lists this ribosomal RNA (444 nucleotides) under uncultured bacterium. Its description in RNAcentral is "bacterial SSU rRNA". It matches the Rfam family "Bacterial small subunit ribosomal RNA", at positions 331 to 792 of the family's 1533-position model. The record is from RNAcentral.
CCAGACUCCUACGGGAGGCAGCAGUGGGGGAUAUUGCACAAUGGGGGAAACCCUGAUGCAGCGACGCCGCGUGGGUGAAGAAGCGCCUCGGCGCGUAAAGCCCUGUCAGCAGGGAAGAAAAUGACGGUACCUGAAGAAGAAGCCCCGGCUGACUACGUGCCAGCAGCCGCGGUAAUACGUAGGGAGCAAGCGUUGUCCGGAAUUACUGGGCGUAAAGGGCGCGUAGGUGGGCGCUUAAGUCAGGUGUGAAAACUCCGGGCUCAACCUGGAGACUGCACUUGAAACUGGGUGUCUUGAGGGCAGGAGAGGAAAGUGGAAUUCCUAGUGUAGCGGUGAAAUGCGUAGAUAUUAGGAGGAACACCAGUGGCGAAGGCGGCCUGCUGGACGACAACUGACGGUGAGGCGCGAAAGCGUGGGGAGCAAACAGGAUUAGAUACCCGCGUA